GAGCAAAGGCGCCAUAUAAGUGAUGAUCUUUGCAUUGAAGGUUGGCUACAACAAAAGUGUAGUUCUCCGUGCUGCUCAGAUUUCUAUCUGUUCUGUGACAUCCUCGAACAAGCUGCCACACC
RNAcentral lists this small nucleolar RNA (122 nucleotides) under Zea mays. The record is from RNAcentral. Lineage: Eukaryota; Viridiplantae; Streptophyta; Magnoliopsida; Poales; Poaceae.